This 497-nucleotide ribosomal RNA is filed under the name uncultured bacterium. Its description in RNAcentral is "partial 16S ribosomal RNA". It matches the Rfam family "Bacterial small subunit ribosomal RNA", at positions 28 to 507 of the family's 1533-position model. The record is from RNAcentral.
GAUGAACGCUGGCGGCGUGCCUAAUACAUGCAAGUCGAGCGAACAGACGAGGAGCUUGCUCCUCUGACGUUAGCGGCGGACGGGUGAGUAAAACGUGGAUAACCUACCUAUAAGACUGGGAUAACUUCGGGAAACCGGAGCUAAUACCGGAUAAUAUAUUGAACCGCAUGGUUCAAUAGUGAAAGACGGUUUUGCUGUCACUUAUAGAUGGAUCCGCGCCGCAUUAGCUAGUUGGUAAGGUAACGGCUUACCAAGGCAACGAUGCGUAGCCGACCUGAGAGGGUGAUCGGCCACACUGGAACUGAGACACGGUCCAGACUCCUACGGGAGGCAGCAGUAGGGAAUCUUCCGCAAUGGGCGAAAGCCUGACGGAGCAACGCCGCGUGAGUGAUGAAGGUCUUCGGAUCGUAAAACUCUGUCAUUAGGGAAGAACAAAUGUGUAAGUAACUAUGCACGUCUUGACGGUACCUAAUCAGAAAGCCACGGCUAACUACGUG